This 460-nucleotide ribosomal RNA is filed under the name uncultured bacterium. RNAcentral's name for it is "partial 16S ribosomal RNA". It matches the Rfam family "Bacterial small subunit ribosomal RNA", at positions 338 to 795 of the family's 1533-position model. The record is from RNAcentral.
CCUACGGGAGGCAGCAGUGAGGAAUAUUGGUCAAUGGCCGGAAGGCUGAACCAGCCAUGCCGCGUGAAGGUCAGUGCCCUAUGGGCGUUAAACUUCUUUUGUGCGGGAGCAAUAAUGGUCACGUGUGGCCAGACGAGAGUACCGUACGAAUAAGCAUCGGCUAACUCAGUGCCAGCAGCCGCGGUAAUACGGGGGGUGCAAGCGUUAUCCGGAUUUAUUGGGUUUAAAGGGUGCGUAAGCUGUGAGGUAAAUCAGCGGUGAAAUGCCCCCGCUCAACGGGGUGAAGUGCCAUUGAUACUGCCUAGCUGGAAUGCGGAUGCGGUGAGAGGAAUGUGUGGUGUAGCGGUGAAAUGCAUAGAUAUCACACAGAACACCGAUUGCGAAGGCAUCUCACGAAUCCGCGAUUGACGCUGAUGCACGAAAGCGUGGGUAUCAAACAGGAUUAGAUACCCUUGUAGUC